GUAAUUAAUUAACAACGCUACUUACAUAAAGUCUAUAACCCUGAUGAACCUCCAGUCAUUGAAGGAUCGUUUCCACAGUCAAGAUUUGUCCAAACAAGCAUAUCAAACUGCAUACAGCCAAAUAGUAGAAGCAAGUGGGCCAAUGUCAACUCUGGUAACCACUACCGUUCUAUAAAAAUAACAGCCAAAUAGUAGAAGUAAGGGGGCCAAUGUCAACUCUGGAAACCACUAUCGUUCUAUAAAAAUAACAGCCAAAUAGUAGAAGCAAGCGGGCCAAUGUCAACUCUGGAAACCACUAUCGUUCUAUAAAAAUAACAGCCAAAUAGUAGAAGUAAGGGGGCCAAUGUCAACUCUGGAAACCACUAUCGUUCUAUAAAAAUAACAGCCAAAUAGUAGAAGCAAGCGGGCCAAUGUCAACUCUGGAAACCACUAUCGUUCUAUAAAAAUAACAGCCAAAUAGUAGAAGUAAGGGGGCCAAUGUCAACUCUGGAAACCACUAUCGUUCUAUAAAAAUAACAGCCAAAUAGUAGAAGCAAGCAGGCCAGUGCCAGUCCAGAACUCUGGAAACCACACUCCCUCCAUAACAAUAUAAUGAUAAAUAGACAGUCUCAAAGAAUUUCCACUUAUUGUAGUUACAGACCGCUCGAUUCCAGUAAGAAAUAUUCAUUUUUGGAUAUAUAUUUCUUAGUCAUAAUUUUACCCACUAGAUCAAAAUUUGUUAGAAUUAUAUAAGUACCUAGUAAUAAGGGCUGAAAAAGACUCGAUACCAACCAUUUCAGAAUGGGAAAAUCGUUCCUUAAUGACUACACA
Non-coding RNA from Pelobates cultripes (western spadefoot toad), 810 nucleotides. The record is from the annotation of a GenBank genome assembly. NCBI's taxonomy places the organism in Eukaryota, Metazoa, Chordata, Amphibia, Anura, Pelobatidae.